AGAGUUUGAUCAUGGCUCAGAUUGAACGUUGGCGGCAGGCCUAACACAUGCAAGUCGAGCGGAAACGAGAAUAGCUUGCUAUUCGGCGUCGAGCGGCGGACGGGUGAGUAAUGCCUGGGAAAUUGCCCUGAUGUGGGGGAUAACCAUUGGAAACGAUGGCUAAUACCGCAUAAUAGCUUCGGCUUAAAGAGGGGGACCUUCGGGCCUCUCGCUUCAGGAUAUGCCCAGGUGGGAUUAGCUAGUUGGUGAGGUAAAGGCUCACCAAGGCGACGAUCCCUAGCUGGUCUGAGAGGAUGAUCAGCCACACUGGAACUGAGACACGGUCCAGACUCCUACGGGAGGCAGCAGUGGGGAAUAUUGCACAAUGGGCGCAAGCCUGAUGCAGCCAUGCCGCGUGUAUGAAGAAGGCCUUCGGGUUGUAAAGUACUUUCAGCAGUGAGGAAGGGUGUGUAGUUAAUAGCUGCAUACUUUGACGUUAGCUGCAGAAGAAGCACCGGCUAACUCCGUGCCAGCAGCCGCGGUAAUACGGAGGGUGCGAGCGUUAAUCGGAAUUACUGGGCGUAAAGCGCAUGCAGGUGGUUUGUUAAGUCAGAUGUGAAAGCCCGGGGCUCAACCUCGGAACCGCAUUUGAAACUGGCAGGCUAGAGUACUGUAGAGGGGGGUAGAAUUUCA
RNAcentral lists this ribosomal RNA (672 nucleotides) under uncultured Vibrionaceae bacterium. RNAcentral's name for it is "bacterial SSU rRNA". It matches the Rfam family "Bacterial small subunit ribosomal RNA", at positions 8 to 671 of the family's 1533-position model. The record is from RNAcentral. Lineage: Bacteria; Pseudomonadati; Pseudomonadota; Gammaproteobacteria; Vibrionales; Vibrionaceae.